Molecule: ribosomal RNA, 270 nt
Filed under: uncultured bacterium
Lineage: Bacteria
Description: partial 16S ribosomal RNA
Rfam family: Bacterial small subunit ribosomal RNA
Source: RNAcentral
CGGGCGACCGGCGCACGGGUGAGUAACACGUAUGCGACCUGCCCGUAGCAGGGGGAUAAGCGGAAGAAAUUCCGUCUAAUACCGCGUAAUAUCUUUCGGGGGCAUCCCUGAGGGAUUAAAGGAAGUGAUUCCGGCUACGGAUGGGCAUGCGGCGCAUUAGCUAGUCGGCGGGGUAACGGCCCACCGAGGCGACGAUGCGUAGGGGUUCUGAGAGGAAGGUCCCCCACACUGGUACUGAGACACGGACCAGACUCCUACGGGAGGCAGCAG